This 568-nucleotide long non-coding RNA is filed under the name Betta splendens (Siamese fighting fish). RNAcentral's name for it is "lncRNA (ENSBSLG00000006623.1)". Lineage: Eukaryota; Metazoa; Chordata; Actinopteri; Anabantiformes; Osphronemidae. The record is from RNAcentral.
AUGUGUCAUUUAGUUAAAUGUGAGAAAACUAGUUAUAGGUGCUCCUUUUACAUUCGGCACCCCAUACGAGUGGGUUGGUCUUUGACUAGCGCAACCAAUAGAGGCUUGGUGAGUAUUGGCCGGAGGAGAACCUGCUGUGAACUGCUCAUAACUCACUGGCAAAGCAAAGUUUCACCAAACAGCACCACAGCAUCAGAGCUAGCGGGCAUUUUCAUCUGUAAGAUGAGCGAGUUCGGUUCGUUGGCAGGAAGACAGCUGCGCGUUGAAAUAUGAAAGUUCUAAAGGAACAAAACAGUAGUAGGAGUUUCGUGAUGGAGACCUGAGACUUCUGAAGAAGCCAGAGCAUGACCUUUGAACUUCAACCUUCAUUGUGUCUGAGUGAGUCUGGCCACUACUGCUCAGACAGAACAAACCUGAGUCCUUCCAGUCUGGCUGCCUGUCAAAGCCUAAACCACCGGACGUCUCUUCUCUUUCCAGAGGAGUUCCUACCUUUGAUUUCUUCAUGAGCAGCAGAAGCCGCGUGAAGGAAACUGUGUGUGUCAGCGACGCUCUAACCACAACAAGGUCG